GCGAGCGCAUGGGUUAUGGAUACAAUCGCCCCCUUGGAAGCGGCAUAAGCCUCGGAGCCUGGUUCAGACAUCAAGGCGCGCGUA
This 84-nucleotide transfer RNA is filed under the name Paenibacillus segetis. RNAcentral describes it as "tRNA-Pro". Lineage: Bacteria; Bacillati; Bacillota; Bacilli; Caryophanales; Paenibacillaceae. The record is from RNAcentral.